Non-coding RNA from Misgurnus anguillicaudatus (oriental weatherfish), 1350 nucleotides. NCBI's taxonomy places the organism in Eukaryota, Metazoa, Chordata, Actinopteri, Cypriniformes, Cobitidae. The record is from RefSeq and is a predicted model, not a curated record.
AACCACACAGCAAAAUCACCAGUGUUAAAUUUUCAGGGAUGGUGUUAAAUACACAGUGUUGAUGCUGUUUUAACACUAUCUGGUAAUAAAAUAACACUGCCAUUGCUAGGCCAGUGUUAUAUCCAUGACAGUGUCAGUGUAAAACAAGGGUGUUACCAGAUUUCACACUGAGCGGUGUAAAUCAAGCCACGCCUCCACUAAACAUUUCCUGUCAGGGAUUUUACCGCCAUUUUCUUUCAAAGGAGGACUGAAGAGAGCAGAUGCUAGUUUGGUGAAAGUAAGUUACACACUGAGUGCUUCAAAUCAUUCAGAAGAGAUGCUGUUUUUAGGGCAGUUUAUUAAAGAAGACCUGACAUGGAUGACUUCCAAUGAGAAACGACUGCUAAUACUUAUAUAAAUUCAUUACAGAAGGACCCUACCAGACUAUAUUUGAAUACGGCAUACCCGUGAAUUCUGGAACUGUUAUUCCUGUUUGGAGGAUAAGAGCUUACCAACUAUAAAUAUGCUGAGGUGAUGUAUUGCAAAAUAGCCAACAUACAACAAUUAAAUGAUAAUUGCAGCCUAUAUCCUGAUGAAGAUAUGGAUGACCCUCUGUCUGGUCAACAAUAGUUUAAAUAUGGACGGGACAGUUAUGUGGCAGCUCUUCCCUGACUCAUUCACCUCUUGCCUUCAUUUGUGAAAGGAAGAAAGACUGGAGAGGGUCAAUGUGCAACUGAAGCUACUGAUUGUGCUGUGUGAUGAGCAUCAAUCCAUGCUUUGAGGGGGAUGAAUCAGCACAGCCCUGCCUGCUCUGCGUUGCGAACAAAAGUUGCAUCCAGAAUUUUUGCAUCAUUCUGGACCAAAAAGCCAUUCCCUCCAUGAUGAAGACCACUGAUGCAGCCUUCCACUACAUCAUGAGUAAAACAACUACAGAACUUAAUACCAGGUUGGAACGUGUUUAAGAAAAAUGAAACGUCUUUUGAAUUGAAAUGUCUGUUUUGUUAUGGAAAAAUCUUUAGUAUUGUGAAGGAUAAGCAUUUCUGCUUGCCGAUAAGGUAAUUGCAUGUAUUUUAAUGUUCAAGUGUUGAGUAGGGUGGCUAAUUUUUUUAACUCUUAUUUGAUUUAUUAAAGACCUUUAUAAUAAGUGGUUUUCAUGUCACUGUGCUGUGGUAUAAGAUAACUUUCAUUAUUCCAUACUGUAUUCUGUGUCUAAUUGUAGCUGAGGUAUUUAAAUAAGCAGUGUUAAAUGCAAAGUGUUGUGUGUAUCAAUGUAAAUAUUAAAUGUGAUUUACUUUAAUAAAAAGAGGUUUUGCAAUAUUUCUUGUCAUUUUUCUUUUAUAGAAACAACCCAUUAGCAACAAAAGUGGCUAU